GGUGCCUGCGGAGGGAUCAUUACACAAUAUGAAAGCGGGCUGGCAUCCUUCGGGGUUACAGCCUUGCUGAAUUAUUCACCCGUGUCUUUUGCGUACUUCUUGUUUCCUUGGUGGGUUCGCCCACCAUAGGACAAACCAUAAACCUUUUGUAAUUGCAAUCAGCGUCAGUAAAAAAAUUAAUAAUUACAACUUUUAACAACGGAUCUCUUGGUUCUGGCAUCGAUGAAGAACGCAGCGAAAUGCGAUAAGUAGUGUGAAUUGCAGAAUUCAGUGAAUCAUCGAAUCUUUGAACGCACAUUGCGCCCUUUGGUAUUCCAAAGGGCAUGCCUGUUCGAGCGUCAUUUGUACCCUCAAGCUUUGCUUGGUGUUGGGCGUCUUGUCUCCAGUUCGCUGGAGACUCGCCUUAAAGUAAUUGGCAGCCGGCCUACUGGUUUCGGAGCGCAGCACAAGUCGCGCUCUCUUCCAGCCAAGGUCAGCAUCCACAAAGCCUUUUUUCAACUUUUGACCUCGGAUCAGGUAGGGAUACCCGCUGAACUUAAGCAUACAGGGA
Molecule: ribosomal RNA, 550 nt
Filed under: Ulocladium sp. 10a1-2
Lineage: Eukaryota; Fungi; Ascomycota; Dothideomycetes; Pleosporales; Pleosporaceae
Description: eukaryotic LSU rRNA
Rfam family: 5.8S ribosomal RNA (bases 188-341)
Source: RNAcentral